ACUUCAGAAAUGGUUCAUGCAACUGAUCAUUGAUUCAGAGGUAAUUCCAACAUUUACUAAUAGAUUGGUUAUAGUUGUCUCGCACGCGCUAAACAACCAACCCUUCCGUAAUUUAUCGAUAGCUAAGGUACGACCGUUAGCUAUUUCUCUAACCCAAAAACAACUCUAGGUACGACCGUAGGAUUUAAUUUCCAGAUUGCAUUAUUAAUUAGAAAGGCCCAAUCCUGACUAACAAACACGCUACGAGGGUUUAUUCAAGCCAGAUCAAAUAUUCCAAGAUACAAUCAAGAUACGAAGUACAAUCAGAAUAUACGAAGCUAAUCAAGAUACGAAGCUAAUCACAGCAGUUCAUACCAAAAACGGCAUCCCAAUUUCCCCAAUAACCUCAUCGAAAUCAGAAUAUACCAAAUCAGCAAUGCUCACAGUUCAAAGUGCACUCGUUCACUCCAAAGUGUAUAUGAAAUGUAUAUAAGAUGGCUCUCAAAUCAACACAACAGAAUGACACUACCAUAAGCUUGCUCAUAUAUCAUAUCUCCACCACCUACUCAUGAAUUUAAACGCAGCAAUCAAGGGACUUGCAUGGUUGUAAUGGGGCUAGGGUGAAAAGGUAGGAUAAAAAGGAGUCAAGAGGGUGUAAAAGUAUAAAGGAAGUGCUCAGAAAUUCAUUACACAGACUCUUGCACAUUGGGAACUUCAAGGCAUCUCAACCACUACACAAGUGAAGCAAAUUAGCACUUGCCGCAACCUUCGACUUUUCUCCUCUUUUCAUUCAUCAACUCACCUUCUUUUUUUUCUUUUUUUCUUUUUUCCUAUUUUUUUUUUUUGAUAUAACGCCCAACCAGCACCCUAGAAAUCAACUUUACUUGCUGGUUUUCCGUACUUUGUCUUCUUUUCACAUUUGCCCUUUUUUCUUUUUUCAUUGAUCGGUGCAAUGCCUCUCAAGUAAUACUCCAAAAUUCUGUAUAAUGAAAUCAAAGCACUUCUUCACACGAGGUUCAAAAAGAAAGUCUAAAAAGAGGUUUCACGGCUAAGAGCUGGGGUCUCAAGCAACGAAUAGGGGUUAAGGCUCAACUUGGCUCCCUAAUGAUAGUAAAUAAUCCAAGGGUUGGUUUUAAGAAAGUCCAAAAAUGGCUCAUUCCUAGGUGCCCUAUCAUUUCAAUGCAUUAAACUCAUUUAAAUGUGGUCUUGACAUGCAUAACCGAGCAAGUUCUAGAAUGACAAACCAUGUGCACUAACCACUCAAACAAACGAAAAAUUAGGCCCAAAAAUCGUACAAGUGGUCAAAUUGAUGUCAAAUCCAGCAUAUUCAUCAAUCAAUUCAAUAUUUAGGAAAAUAGAACACCCCACGGCAUGAACUUACUGCUUAUACUCACAUCUCAAUUGUAUUCAUCACAAUUUAAAGAAAAAAAACUACUAAGGCAAGGAAAAUGCACAUAAAACAGCUCAAAGCACAACUAAUGCAUAAUUAACCCUCCCCCACACCUAAACCUUUCAUUGUCCUCAAUGGAAGCGGAUAAAGAGGAAAAUAAAGCGAUAAAGGCAACAACACUUCCCUUAAUACGGCGGAGGGCAGAGGUAAGGCAAAUGUGCACAAAAGAGGUCAACAGGCAGCUGAUUCAGUAAAAGGGUCCCAAUCACAGUUUCCAGUCACAGACAAGUGCACAACCAAACAAUAAAAUUACCCCAAAAGCUAACUAAUCCUGUGAAUCAGCAAAAUACUUUCCCAAAUACUACCAAAUAAACCCAAGAAUCAAUUAAUUAGGUAAGCACAACAAUUUUUCCCCAAAACUAAUUAAACAGGCAACCAGGGUAAAAAUUCCCCCCA
Molecule: long non-coding RNA, 1825 nt
Filed under: Coffea arabica (coffee)
Lineage: Eukaryota; Viridiplantae; Streptophyta; Magnoliopsida; Gentianales; Rubiaceae
Description: long non-coding RNA (CARA_LNC002590)
Source: RNAcentral